RNAcentral lists this small RNA (3256 nucleotides) under Pongo abelii (Sumatran orangutan). RNAcentral's name for it is "retained intron". Lineage: Eukaryota; Metazoa; Chordata; Mammalia; Primates; Hominidae. The record is from RNAcentral.
GAGCCAGGGCAGGAUGGAGAGGAGACGCAUCACCUCCGCUGCUCGCCGUUCCUACAUCUCCUCGGGGGAGAUGAUGGUGGGGGGCCUGGCUCCUGGCCGCCGUCUGGGUCCUGGCACCCGCCUCUCCCUGGCUCGAAUGCCCCCUCCACUCCCGACCCGGGUGGACUUCUCCCUGGCCGGGGCACUCAAUGCUGGCUUCAAGGAGACCCGGGCCAGUGAGCGGGCAGAGAUGAUGGAGCUCAAUGACCGCUUUGCCAGCUACAUCGAGAAGGUUCGCUUCCUGGAACAGCAAAACAAGGCGCUGGCUGCUGAGCUGAACCAGCUGCGGGCCAAGGAGCCCACCAAGCUGGCUGACGUCUACCAGGCUGAGCUGCGAGAGUUGCGGCUGCGGCUCGAUCAACUCACCGCCAACAGCGCCCGGCUGGAGGUCGAGAGGGACAAUCUGGCACAGGACCUGGGCACCGUGAGGCAGAAGUGAGGAGGGGAUGGGGAAGGGGGGCCUUGUGAGCAGAAGGGGCUGAAUCCCCAAGAGGGAGUGCCCGAGAAGUCUCAGGCAGGGGCCGAGGCUCCCUGCUCCCUGGGUCUCCCUACCUCUCGAUGGGGCACUAUCCUUGCCCCCCAACAUGAUGGGAGGGACCAGAAACAGGUCCAGGGCCCCGGGGAUCUGAUGCCCACAUGCCUUCUGCCAGGAGUCCAGGGUCCCCUCAGCACCUCCCUACUGGGGAAAGCAGUGCAGGAGCAGCUGGGCCCCUGCGUUCCAUUCGUGGCUGGGCUUUGUGACUGUGGGCAGCGAGCUCACCUAUUCUGAGCCUGUGUCCAUAUAAAGGAGGAGUUGGAAGCGGAGAAGGUUGGUGUCCAUGAGGGAGAUUGGAUUCUGGGGUGAAGGAAGCGAGGGAAAGAGUAGGCAAGCCUGGGCGCAAAGCACAGGUGACUGCCUGCCACCAGCUUGUGACCCCUGUCAAGUCACUUUGACUUGCACAGCUGUGAAGCGGUGCUCAUAAUAAAAUUCAUUUCAAAAGGUGGUUACCUGGGAUCAGAGGAAUCCCCAGGGGCAUGGCGCUUCGCUGAGCUGACAGGACAUGCAUGUGUGCCUUCAAGUGCAGGAGGACGUGUGUGUGUGUGUGUGUGCAGCAGUGAGUGUACGCUGGUGGAUGCGCCUGUGUGAGCAGAAGCAGGUGCACCAACCCUGAUAAGGCACCUUAGUAACGAGUUAAGGCAAAAGCCCACAUCUGCUCAUCCUCCAGACAAGUCCUCUGUCUAAGGCCCCCCAGCCCUUACUCCUCCUGCUGCUCUACUGGUCCUGGGUGGGGUUGGUCUCUGUGACAGCUGCCUCCAGGGAGAUUGAGGCAGGUAUCCAAGUGUCCUCAGAAGAGCCUGGACCCAGGAAUGUGUCCCCCCACUCCAGGCUCCAGGAUGAAACCAACCUGAGGCUGGAGGCCGAGAACAACCUGGCUGCCUACAGACAGGUCAGGGAGCUGGAAGGGAGUGGCAGGGGAGGGAGGAAAGGGUUGACGGCCACCCACCCAAACACAGCCCCCAAGCUCAGCCCUCCAGAGCAAUGUGCUGCUCCCCACUGCCCCAGAAGGAGGGGUAAGGCAAGGCUGAGGAAUGGGGAGAAGGAGCCUGGGGCCCCAGUGGCCCUCUACUCCUCAACCCUCCUGCCACUCCAGGAAGCAGAUGAAGCCACCCUGGCCCGCCUGGAUCUGGAGAGGAAGACUGAGUCGCUGGAAGAGGAGAUCCGGUUCUUGAGGAAGAUCCACGAGGAGGAGGUUCGGGAACUCCAGGAGCAGCUGGCCCGACAGCAGGUCCAUGUGGAGCUUGACAUGGCCAAGCCAGACCUCACCGCAGCCCUGAAAGAGAUCCGCACGCAGUAUGAGGCAAUGGCGUCCAGCAACAUGCAUGAGGCGGAGGAGUGGUACCGCUCCAAGUUUGCAGACCUGACAGACGCUGCUGCCCGCAACGCGGAGCUGCUCCGCCAGGCCAAGCACGAGGCCAACGACUACCGGCGCCAGUUGCAGUCCUUGACCUGCGACCUGGAGUCUCUGCGCGGCACGAACGAGUCCCUGGAGAGGCAGAUGCGCGAGCAGGAGGAGCGCCACGCGCGGGAGGCGGCCAGUUAUCAGGAGGCGCUGGCGCGGCUGGAGGAAGAGGGUCAGAGCCUCAAGGACGAGAUGGCCCGCCACUUACAGGAGUACCAGGACCUGCUCAACGUCAAGCUGGCCCUGGACAUCGAGAUCGCCACCUACAGGAAGCUGCUGGAGGGCGAGGAGAACCGGAUCACCAUUCCCGUGCAGACCUUCUCCAACCUGCAGAUUCGAGGUCAGUAUAGCAGGGCCUCGUGGGAAGGGCACUGGAGUCCUGCCCCCUCCUCCAGGGCCUGUAGGUUGCUCCGGACUGGGACUGAGGAUCAGGGCAAAGGGAUCCAGCUCUCCCUCUCCCUGGGGGCCUUCGUGACACCGCAGCGCUCCUAGCCAGAGCCUAUCAUACCAGGGUACUUCUAGGCGGGGCUUGCAGCUGCUCCUGUCCUGCUAGGCCCUGGGUCCCUCUUCCCCUCCCUGCACCCCAUUCCACAGCAGAACUGAGUGAGAUCUUGACAUCUGCCCUGUCUGCAGAUCCCUGAGCAAGCACUGCCCUUCUGAGUGUUUUCUGUUUUUGUUUUUUUAACUGCUUGUCACUACAGGGGGCAAAAGCACCAAAGACGGGGAAAAUCACAAGGUCACAAGACAUCUCAAAAGCCUCACAAUACGAGUUAUACCAAUACAGGCUCACCAGAUUGUAAAUGGAGCGCCGCCGGCUUGCGGUUAGCUGCCUGCCUCUCAGACACGGCGCUUUGCCCAGCUUGACAGGGAGUGAGCCUCACCCACCCCAUCCUCCCAAUCCUCCUGAGCUCCCUCCUCCCAGGCUUCCCCUAAAGGGCCUGGACUGCGUCAUUUUCCCAGGAACUGCAGUGCCCAGCCCAGGACGUGGUACAGAGUAACUGUACAUUAAACUGGCAGAGCUCGUUAGUGGUAAAGGUGGUGAGUCCUUGGAUGUGCAGCAGAGCUGCUCUGGGGCCUCUGAGCAAGCAGCAGCCUCUGUCUCACCUCUUCCCGUCACUGGGAGGGCCCCUUGGGUCUCGCUGUGCCUGGGGGCCAGGCUCUCUGCUUUAUUCUUUCAUCCCUGAGGCUCCAUCGCUCAGCUCAGUGCUGACUCAGUCCAGAGGAUUCUUCCCUCAGGACUGCUGCUCUUGCAGUGAAUAAAGUUUUAUGUUCCCUGC